UUUCCGGUUGAUCCCGCCGGACCUGACUGCUAUCGGAUUGAUACUAAGCCAUGCGAGUCUUUGCAGUAAUGCAAGGCAUACGGCUCAGUAACACGUAGUCAACUUACCCUAUGGACGAGGAUAAUCUCGGGAAACUGAGCAUAAUACUCGAUAGAUCAUAAUGCCUGGAAUGGUUUAUGGUUGAAAUGAUUCGUCGCCAUAGGAUGGGACUGCGGCCUAUCAGCUUGUUGGUGAGGUAAUGGCCCACCAAGGCGAUUACAGGUACGGGCUCUGAGAGGAGAAGCCCGGAGAUGGGUACUGAGACAAGGACCCAGGCCCUAUGGGGCGCAGCAGGCGAGAAAACUUUGCAAUGUGCGAAAGCACGACAAGGUUAAUCCGAGUGAUUUCUGCUAAAGAAAUCUUUUGCAAGUCAUAAAACCACUAGUGAAUAAGGGGUGGGCAAGUUCUGGUGUCAGCCGCCGCGGUAAAACCAGCACCUCAAGUGGUCAGGAGGAUUAUUGGGCCUAAAGCAUCCGUAGCCGGCUCUGUAAGUUUUCGGUUAAAUCCAUGUGCUCAACGCAUGGGCUGCCGAAAAUACUGCAUAGCUAGGGAGUGGGAGAGGUAGACGGUACUCGGUAGGAAGGGGUAAAAUCCUUUGAUCUAUCGAUGACCACCUGUGGCGAAGGCGGUCUACCAGAACACGUUCGACGGUGAGGGAUGAAAGCUGGGGGAGCAAACCGGAUUAGAUACCCGGGUAGUCCCAGCUGUAAACGAUGCAGACUCGAUGAUGCAUUGGCAUAUAGCCAGUGCAGUGUCGCAGGGAAGCCGUUAAGUCUGCCGCCUGGGAAGUACGUACGCAAGUAUGAAACUUAAAGGAAUUGGCGGGGGAGCACCACAAGGGGUGAAGCCUGCGGUUCAAUUGGAGUCAACGCCGGA
RNAcentral lists this ribosomal RNA (915 nucleotides) under uncultured archaeon. Its description in RNAcentral is "SSU rRNA". It matches the Rfam family "Archaeal small subunit ribosomal RNA", at positions 1 to 922 of the family's 1478-position model. The record is from RNAcentral.